CAGCUGCCAAAGGAGAAGCAAGAGUCAAUAAACUGAGUGUCAGCAGCAACACCUGGUGAUGGUCCAUGGAGAGCCUUGGGGGUCAUCAGCCUGCAGCAGCUCUGCUGAGAUCUACGCUGGUUUGGACUGCAAAAAAAAUGUAAUAAAAUGAGAACUUGACCAAGUUCUGGAGCAGCGUCCAGGCUGCCAUCCAUCACUUGCGAAGAGAUUCGAGCUCCUGGUGCGUGGCAGGAUUUGAUGCUGCAGUUUGCUUCCCCACGACCCAGUGAUUUCCUGAACCACGUGAAAAGGGACAGUUUGCUCCUCAGCACACCGCCCCCAGCACCGGCUGCCACAAAGCAGGCAGUUCUCAAGCACAAACUGCUGCACCGAGCUCUCCGGUACGGUGCGUUUCCACCUGAGAUCAUCUCCGGGGGAAGCAGCCUCUCCAGUUAAUGGAUCAGAGGUUUGAUGAGAGCACAGCCAACGUGUGUGGAUCAGAACACGAGGCCGUGGUGUUAAAAAGCAUCCGUCCUCUGCUGCGCAUCCCUCACGCUGUGGCUUCCUCGCGGUGCUGGGGAGGGCUCGUGGUGGGGUCAUGGGGCUGGGCUCCCGGCUCCACUGCCCCUCAGCCUGGUCCCACACGCACUGCUGAGCCCCAACCAGGAUUGCCCGUGGUCUGCCGGGGUGUCCUGGUGAUGCACAGAGUUGGGAUAGCAGUGGUGUGCAGCUGCCUGGGCUGGGGGCUGCGCUCCGAGGUCGGACAAGGAGCAGGCUGUCUGUAUUGGCAAUUUGAGAACAAACUGCACUUGGACUCCUUCCCAGCCAGAGCAGAGCAUGUGAAUGUCAAAGGUUCCUGAAAGCCAAUAACCAGGGAAGCGUGUGCUCUCGGCCCUCCCUGCAGGCUGGGGGAGGAGAGGCAGAAAUGUCAGAUGAGCAGCUCUGAUCUCCCUUCCCACACUCACCCAGCGCUAAUCCCUAAUUGCCUCUCACCCCGCGUGAGCCCACGCUGCAGGACUGCCAGGCUGGGACAGCUUGUGCUGGCAGAGGUCUCGGUUUAAAAAAAAAAAAAAAGGAAAAAAUAAAAU
Non-coding RNA from Anas platyrhynchos (mallard), 1067 nucleotides. NCBI's taxonomy places the organism in Eukaryota, Metazoa, Chordata, Aves, Anseriformes, Anatidae. The record is from RefSeq and is a predicted model, not a curated record.